Molecule: ribosomal RNA, 879 nt
Filed under: uncultured bacterium
Lineage: Bacteria
Description: bacterial SSU rRNA
Rfam family: Bacterial small subunit ribosomal RNA
Source: RNAcentral
GAAUCAACGCGGGCGGCGUGCCUACACAUGCAAGUCGAACGAGAAAGUGGGAGCAAUCCUGCGAGUACAGUGGCAGACGGGUGAGUAACACGUGAACAACCUACCCUCGAGUGGGGAAUAACCCCGCGAAAGCGGGGCUAAUACCGCAUAACAUCCUUGGGUCGCAUGAUUUGAGGAUCAAAAGCGCAAGUUGCUUGAGGAGGGGUUCGCGCCUGAUUAGCUAGUUGGUGAGGUAACGGCCCACCAAGGCGACGAUCAGUAGCCGGCCUGAGAGGGCGAACGGCCACACUGGAACUGAGACACGGUCCAGACUCCUACGGGAGGCAGCAGUGGGGAAUUUUGCGCAAUGGGCGAAAGCCUGACGCAGCAACGCCGCGUGGAGGAUGAAGGUCUUCGGAUCGUAAACUCCUGUCAGUGGGGAAGAAGGUCGGGUAACCGGCUUGACUGUACCCGCUGAGGAAGCCACGGCUAACUCCGUGCCAGCAGCCGCGGUAAUACGGAGGUGGCAAGCGUUGUUCGGAAUUACUGGGCGUAAAGGGCGCGUAGGCGGCUUGGCAAGUCAGAUGUGAAAGCCCCGAGCUUAACUUGGGAAUUGCAUCUGAAACUGCUUUGCUUGAGUCCUGGAGGGGGUAGUGGAAUUCCCAGUGUAGCGGUGAAAUGCGUAGAUAUUGGGAGGAACACCGGCGGCGAAGGCGGCUACCUGGACAGUGACUGACGCUGAGGCGCGAAAGCUAGGGGAGCGAACGGGAUUAGAUACCCCGGUAGUCCUAGCUGUAAACGAUGGGCACUUGGUGUUGGGGGUAUUGAGUCCCCCAGUGCCGGAGUUAACACGUUAAGUGCCCCGCCGGGGGAGUACGGUCGCAAGACUGAAACUUAAAU